UACAGAGACCUCAAGCGUUAUCCGGAAUCAUUGGGCGUAAAGCGUACCGAUAGGUGGUUUACUAAGUUUUGGGUAAAGGCCAGAAGCUUAACUUCUGCGUUUGCUCAAGAUACUGGUAGACUAGAGGGACAAAGAGGUUGCUGGAACGAACGGUGUAGCGGUGAAAUGCUUAGAUAUCGUCCAGAACACCGAUAGCGAAGGCAGCUUACUAAGGAGUAACUGACGCUGAGGCACGAAAGUGUGGGGAUCAAACAGG
This 256-nucleotide ribosomal RNA is filed under the name uncultured bacterium. RNAcentral's name for it is "partial 16S ribosomal RNA". It matches the Rfam family "Bacterial small subunit ribosomal RNA", at positions 524 to 776 of the family's 1533-position model. The record is from RNAcentral.